CCUCUCCUUCAUUACCACAUUACAUUUUUGUUGUCACCUCUCCUUCAUAACCACAUUAAAUUUUUGUUGUCACUUCUCCUUCAUUACCACAUUACAUUUUUUUGUCACAUCUCCUUCAUUACCACAUUAAUUUUUUGUUGUCACUUCUCCUUCAUUACCACAUUAAUUUUUUUUGUCACCUCUCCUUCAUUACCACAUUACAUUUUUGUUGUCACCUCUCCUUCAUUACCACAUUAAAUUUUUUUGUCACCUCUCCUUCAUAACCACAUAAAAAAAUUUUGUCACCUCUCCUUCAUAACCACGAGGAGAGUGUAAUGACGUUAUUAGUUUCCUGUUUACAUAUUCUUUCUUCUGCGAGCGAAACUGCGAGGGCUUUUCUGAAGAGCCACUGUUGCUGCGCAACAUCCUGUAGGCUGCUACAUUAAAGUGCCGCAGUAGUCUUCAUUGGUUCACUGUAGUCUUCGGCCACCAAUAGCAGAACGUUUCACACGCCAGCUCCUCCUUUUCUGUCAACACUAAUCAAGCAUAUUAAAAUAUUGUAUGGCACUAUAAGGCGGGAUAUUCGCAGCAGCGUGUCACAUUUAAAAAUACUUUAUCAAAGACAGUGACUGAUGGAACUCAAUAACGGAGGUACCAUACUUGAAUGUCUCUGGAGGCCUCUAAUAAGAGUCUGGAGACUCCUGUACUGCUGUGACACUGAUGACUCUGAAAUAAAACUGUCAGAGGAAGAAACAUAACUAAUUCCCAUAAUCAACGAUGUCCCUAGCUCUGCCCGUCCAUGGUUUUAAAACUGAGAAGAAGAUGAUGGAGUUUAGUAAGGAGCUCCUGUUUUCACUUUCUGGAGCAGCUCUCCUGGAAAAGACCUUCCCAAAAGAUCCAGACCUCUGGUUCAUUCAUUUCACUGGAAAUGGAAAACCGAGUCCAGUAUUGCAUUACAAUAUGUGACCCAGGACAACAAGAC
Molecule: long non-coding RNA, 961 nt
Organism: Megalobrama amblycephala (Wuchang bream)
Lineage: Eukaryota; Metazoa; Chordata; Actinopteri; Cypriniformes; Xenocyprididae
Exons: 4
Source: RefSeq, a predicted model, not a curated record